UUUGAGCUUUGAUGGUGACGUGAGAGAGUUAGACAGGACAGUCUUUUGUGUCGGCUGAAUGUCAUCAUGCGGUCAUCAUCAGCUGGGCUUUCGUAAUCAUUAUCUCUCCAGAACACGCAGUCCAAACACACUGCUUCAAUCGACUUACUCAACAAAUAUCAGAUUACGUCACACGGGUGCAUGGGGCAGACUAUAAAGACGGGUCUUUAUUGAGGAGAACAAUGGUGAGGAGUUACAGCAGAAGAGACCUCCAAAACAUGUGGAGUAUAUGCAGAACUGCAUCAGAGGUCAGGUAUCUUUACAAUUUUAAUGGAGC
Long non-coding RNA from Cyprinus carpio carpio, 316 nucleotides. The record is from Ensembl. NCBI's taxonomy places the organism in Eukaryota, Metazoa, Chordata, Actinopteri, Cypriniformes, Cyprinidae.